This 44-nucleotide ribosomal RNA is filed under the name Trametes versicolor. RNAcentral describes it as "partial 28S ribosomal RNA". Lineage: Eukaryota; Fungi; Basidiomycota; Agaricomycetes; Polyporales; Polyporaceae. The record is from RNAcentral. RNAcentral also lists the same sequence under 40 other names.
UGACCUCAAAUCAGGUAGGACUACCCGCUGAACUUAAGCAUAUC